GGGGAAUAUUGCACAAUGGGCGAAAGCCUGAUGCAGCAACGCCGCGUGAGCGAUGAAGGUCUUCGGAUCGUAAAGCUCUGUCCUCAAGGAAGAAUAUUGACGGUACUUGAGGAGGAAGCCCCGGCUAACUACGUGCCAGCAGCCGCGGUAAUACGUAGGGGGCUAGCGUUAUCCGGAAUUACUGGGCGUAAAGGGUGCGUAGGCGGUCUUGCAAGUCAGAGGUGAAAGGCUACGGCUCAACCGUAGUAAGCCUUUGAAACUGUAGGACUUGAGUGCAGGAGAGGAAAGUGGAAUUCCCAGUGUAGCGGUGAAAUGCGUAGAUAUUGGGAGGAACACCAGUUGCGAAGGCGGCUUUCUGGACUGUAACUGACGCUGAGGCACGAAAGCGUGGGGAGCGAAC
This 400-nucleotide ribosomal RNA is filed under the name uncultured bacterium. RNAcentral's name for it is "bacterial SSU rRNA". It matches the Rfam family "Bacterial small subunit ribosomal RNA", at positions 356 to 773 of the family's 1533-position model. The record is from RNAcentral.